This is a long non-coding RNA of Carassius gibelio (silver crucian carp), 2865 nucleotides long. RefSeq lists it as uncharacterized. The transcript has 3 exons. The record is from RefSeq and is a predicted model, not a curated record. NCBI's taxonomy places the organism in Eukaryota, Metazoa, Chordata, Actinopteri, Cypriniformes, Cyprinidae.
UUAAUUAAUGUCAUACCAAAAUAUGACAAAUAGGUGCCGUUUAAAUGGUGGCAACAAAAUACAAAGUGCAAAUUAGGUUAAUGCAUUAUAGGGAAACUCCGGAGAUUUUGAGGUGUGUCACCAGAUGAUGCAAGUGGUGUAAAAUCGGAUUAAUUUAUAUUUUCUAAAUGCGGAAAACCCCAUAACCCUCACAACAAUCCACAGGAGCAGGUUUGUGUGAGACUGAAGGGAAUCACAACAUCAUGAAUGUUUGGAAGCGAGAUUAAGAAUUUAAGAUGCAAAACUACAGUUGUUUUGUUGAACUGUAUGUUUUCAGUCAGGAUUGGAAAUUCUUGUGCAUUUACCUUUAGAUCGGCCCCACAGCUUCUGCUAUCAUCUGCACGGACGGAACGUAGCCCUUGUUUUUUUGUAAGAUGAGACCCUCUUACAAGAAUGCGAAUGAAGGGAUAUUUUUGGACAUUCCUGGGCUGUAAGAGUGGCCUCUUGAUCUGCCGCUAAAGUUUCCUUGGUUUCCAUGAAGUCCCCAGGCUUCGUAGCAAGCUGAUCUGUCCGUGUGAAGUCAACAGGGGUCUCACACACCCAGAUGCACACACCCUUGAACGUCAUGUCUCCAUGUUAGGAAGCCUCUCUAACACAGACGCAAAUAUCACUGCUGCUUUGUUUGUGAAAUGUAAUGUAGUGACUUCUUUUCAUUUCCAGUGUUUUCUUUUGUUCUGUACAGGAAUAUUUGCCAUUUAGGAGAUAAUUCACUUGCAAAACGAAUCUUUCAGGCAGCUUUCAGGUAGAAAUUGCCGUUCCCAGAGAAAUGGAGUGUCGUUAUACCCGUUAAAAUGGAUUGUACUUUUAUUCCAAACACAUGGUUUUCAGAUCUGUUUCAUGAGAUUGGCCAACUCUCUUUUUGCUUUAAAACUUGUUAAACUUCUAAACCUCUAAUCUGAGUCUCCGAGUUUUUUUUCUGUAGAUAUCUUUUGUCGAAUUUCUAUGUAAUCCAGUCACACAUCAGCAGUGUUGGGAAGGUUAUUCUGAAAAUGUAACAGGAUGCAGACUACAAGUUUAUUAAAAAUAUUUCAAUGACUUUACUUUGAAGUAAUGGAACUGAUUAAAUUUGAUUACUUUUUGAAUACUUUUCCAAAUUAAUGUUUUCAACUGUUAAUCAUUUUCAAACAUUUAAACCAGGAGGGUUCACCUUAACUCCACCCUAAACUCAAGAUUAUAAUCAUUGUAUUUUAAAACAAAGCCACCACAAAAUCAGAUUUUAGCACCUGUUUUUACUUUGAGAUCAUUCUGAUUUUGGAUUUUUUUUAUUUCCAGCACUGAGAACCAUUUUUAUCUCUUGCCAUGGUGGCAACUCUCAUACAGCUUGUAGCCUACAGCUUUCAGAGGCAAUGUGGAAAGAUUUAAUUGGCAGAUGUGGUGCACUGCAAAUCAGAAUAGCAUUGCUUUACUAAAUGGCCUUUACAGAUUUUCCCAACUGCUUACACACAAUCUUUACUUGUCACACAAUUUCUGAAACCGGACACACAAACACCAGAACCGCACACCAAAUCAGUGAAACCAGACACUAAUUCUCUGCCUUUGACUCAGUUUUCCAUUUAAUAAAGCACUUUUUGCAUAACACAAGACACAAUUCUCUAUAUAACACACAAAAAAAUGUAACAGGAGUUGGUAUAAAGGCAAAAGUGUUUACAAAUGUUUGCUUCUGAGUUGUGUUUGUGAUAUUCAGAUUGCAGCACGUCAUUUUGCAAGAGAUGUGAGGCAUUUUACAUUUUGUGUAGGUCCCUAUUAUACAAGCUAUUCCAGAUGUCUUCACAAUCUAUCAAUAUUUAAUAUCUUACCUACCUCUGAAAUGACUUUUCUCUUAGGCUGACGUCAGCACUACCUGUUGUUUUAACUCCGCCCAUCAAACAACCUCUGUUAAAUAUGAGUUAUGAGAAAAAUAAAUAAGAAGAAGAAAAACAGGUAGCGCCUAAAUUUCCAUCAUCUUCUUGGUUGACCCAUUUAAAAAAAAAAAUCCUGAAGAAAGAAAAAAAAAGAGGUUAAAGUAGGAGGUGAAUCAAUGAAACACUACACAAACAAACACACACAGGUGUACCUACACAACACUGUCUGUUGUAAAAUAGGCUCAGACAGGCUCAUGUGCUUUUGUUAGCCAUGCGCUCAAAGGUCUUUAAAUUAUCAUAAAAGGAAAACUAAAAAGAAACCUUUGUGACGUGCCUCUGUUGAUUGUGCAGGUUCUUAAUGAUUGAUAAGUGAUUGUACUGUGAGUCACACACAAAAUCACCAUGUGCUAUGUUUCCAUUAUCAGAUGUUCCUGAUAUAGUGCCAUGUUUAACAAACUCCUCAUGUCUUCCGAUACAAAAGGCAAAACCGCUGCAUAAGAGUAUAUUUGUUUAAAACAGAGCCUUCAGUAGCAUCGAUCUAAAACAUAUGAAAGCAUGAGAGAGUUCCUUAACACUGCGUGACGGUAAACAUGUGACGGCGACUUGACGUGCAAGAGAAUGGGAACUCUAGUUACCAAAGAGUCAUCAUUUACUGAGUUCUUGUUCCUGUUUCACUUGUUCAUGUAUACAGUGAUAAAAUAAUAAAAACCCUGCAGGAUGUUCUCGUGAAAGUUUAUAACAUGACCUUAAACUUGCUGGUGCAAGAUUGUAUGUGAUGCAUAAUGAUUCAAAUGAAAUAGAACUGAUGUUAUAUUUACAUGCAUUAUUUCUUAAUGACAGUUAUGAUGACGGGUUAUAUCAAAAAUCAUGAUUCAAUACAUUAUCUAACUUUGUUCCCAUAGAAGUUCUUUUUCUCAUGAGGUUGAAAUUUGAAUAACAUGAGUUUUCUAUAGAACUGAUGGGAUUCUAAAAGAAUGGAAGCAAU